CACGUAGGGGGCGAGCGUUGUCCGGAAUUACUGGGCGUAAAGGGUGCGUAGGCGGCCCAAUAAGUCAGGUGUGAAAUACCGUGGCUCAACUGCGGUAUUGCACAUGAAACUGUUGGGCUUGAGUGCAGGAGAGGGAAGUGGAAUUCCUAGUGUAGCGGUGAAAUGCGUAGAGAUUAGGAAGAACACCAGUGGCGAAGGCGGCUUCCUGGCCUGCAACUGACGUUGAUGCACGAAAGCGUGGGGAGCAAACAGGAUUAGAUACC
This 263-nucleotide ribosomal RNA is filed under the name uncultured bacterium. RNAcentral describes it as "partial 16S ribosomal RNA". It matches the Rfam family "Bacterial small subunit ribosomal RNA", at positions 524 to 786 of the family's 1533-position model. The record is from RNAcentral.